GAGUGGCGGACGGGUGAGUAACACGUGGGUAACCUGCCCAGAAGCAGGGGAUAACACCUGGAAACAGAUGCUAAUACCGUAUAACAGAGAAAACCGCCUGGUUUUCUUUUAAAAGAUGGCUCUGCUAUCACUUCUGGAUGGACCCGCGGCGCAUUAGCUAGUUGGUGAGGUAACGGCUCACCAAGGCGAUGAUGCGUAGCCGACCUGAGAGGGUAAUCGGCCACAUUGGGACUGAGACACGGCCCAGACUCCUACGGGAGGCAGCAGUAGGGAAUCUUCCACAAUGGACGCAAGUCUGAUGGAGCAACGCCGCGUGAGUGAAGAAGGGUUUCGGCUCGUAAAGCUCUGUUGUUAAAGAAGAACGUGGGUGAGAGUAACUGUUCACCCAGUGACGGUAUUUAACCAGAAAGCCACGGCUAACUACGUGCCAGCAGCCGCGGUAAUACGUAGGUGGCAAGCGUUAUC
This 465-nucleotide ribosomal RNA is filed under the name Pediococcus acidilactici. RNAcentral's name for it is "bacterial SSU rRNA". It matches the Rfam family "Bacterial small subunit ribosomal RNA", at positions 93 to 545 of the family's 1533-position model. The record is from RNAcentral. Lineage: Bacteria; Bacillati; Bacillota; Bacilli; Lactobacillales; Lactobacillaceae.